AUGUUUAUUCUUACUUCUUUCUACUUGCACAGCCUAACACAUUUAUUCUUCCCACAGGAGUUACUCUGAUAUGCAUUAGACAUUAAUAUGCACAUUUGAAUGAGGAGUCAGAUUUCAAGUUACAAUAAAAACCACUUGUAAAGAAUUUUCUCCUGAAUUCAAAUCUUUAAAACAGCCACAACAGAUUAAAUUAUUUUUUUAAGGAAGUAGUAUGUUCUAGCAUACUUGUGGCUCUACUUCUGCAUUGCCAGUGCUGCUGGGCUGCUUAAGAGGUAACAGGCUGACCGGGGGAGGAACAAGGACAUUUUGAUACUGCUGUGCCAGCUGGAACAAACCUGAGAGCCUGGACUUUCUGUGGAUGAACAGGUGGGCAUUCAUACCCUGGGCAGAGCUGGAAGAAAGCCAUGGCUGCUGCAAAGUCCUCCCAGAACAGACUUUGGUCAGACUGUACUGGAGAAUUUCUAAUGGGAAGGCUGUUCAUCUUUCGUUCAUCUUUAAGGUCUGAAAAGACCCAGCCGGCUACAUCCAGUUGUGAGUGCCUACAUAAUAUAUCCACUCUCUUCCACAUCGGGGGACAUGUGAAAUCAGUGGCUUCAGAUGUACAGGAGAGAAUCAAACUGUAACAUCUCACCUCCCCUAACUUGCUAACCACAAUUAUCUACAUUUUAAUAAUAAGACUUUUAUUAGUAUUGGAAAUGCUACUUGUCCUACAACUUCCAAUGAGUUGUUAAAUCCCUAACUGCUUCUUCCCAUCCCAUUUCUUUAAUAGAUCACCUAUAUAGAAUUUUAUGGACAUUCUAAGAAAUGUUAUAGACUCCGUAGUCUUGGAUUAAAGUGGAGUAAAAUAGUAAAUUUUUGUUAGGUCAAUCAAAU
Molecule: long non-coding RNA, 873 nt
Filed under: Ursus maritimus (polar bear)
Lineage: Eukaryota; Metazoa; Chordata; Mammalia; Carnivora; Ursidae
Description: lncRNA (ENSUMAG00000015053.1)
Source: RNAcentral